UGAAGCCCUAAGUUAGGUCAAACAAAACACAAAAUUCCACAAGUCGGCUGCUAGUGUUCAGUUGUGGUAUCCCAUGAGUUCCAUGGAUUCCAGAAUCAGAAGUAAUGCGCCUCCCAUGUAUCCCAUAACCAUGUUUCCCAUGGAUCCCAGAACCAGAAGUAAUGCGCCUCUACUAUUUGAUAAUUAUCCGAGGGGUUUGAUGGAGGAAUAUGUCCGAUAAGUUACGUUAAGCGAGAUAUGCAGGGUUGUGAUUCGGAUAUUGACGUCUCCGAAUUUCAUGUUCUACUUGCCAUUAUACCAGUGCAGUUAGGUGAGAGAAUCACUCCUCUUGUCGAGGCAGCCAUCCACGAGUACAGCACGAACAAUAACAACGUAUUUCUUUCUGCUUGGUUGUUUGCUUAAUGCAGCUACCUUCUUUCUGACAGUUUUUCUUUUUCUAACUAAUGGUAGGUAUAUAUAUAUAUGUUGUUGCUCUUCAGAAUGCAAAUCUUCAUCUUGUGAGUAUCCUAAAGGUGAAUCAACAAACAGAUACCAACUGUAUGAGACUAUAGCUUAUGGGAAAGGCCGCCCCAAAGCACCGCCCAUUUACAGAAGCUUAGGUUGGUCGUGAAGGAUCAUCCUCUGCUGCCGGAGUUUAAUUAGGCCUCUUAACCUUCUGGAAGAGGGUGAAUUUCUAUUUGUUUUCUCGGCCAGAAUUUCAAGUCUUAGUCAUGAAACUUUUGUUAGUUAACCAAGUAGAUGCAAGGCUUGUUAAUGACAUGAACUGGGGACUUGCUGAACUGCAAACCAAUAAGAAAACUCAUUUGUUAUAUUGGUCCGCACAUUGGUGUCUUUUGUGCUAGCUUUCCUGUAUGUUUAAUGUGAAGAGAGGAGCCUAUUUUAAUAGUAGUUAAUUAUUAUAUCCUCUUAAUUAGAGGAUUAUAUCUACUAAAUAGUUGUACCUGACUUAUUUUUUAUUAUUUGUUGAUUAGAAUAUUGGAUCCUUUUGUUUGGAUUUUUUAGUAAUAUUUAUCUUUUAUUAUCUCUGUUUAUUACUAAUUAUUUCUUUAGGCCCUGUUUUUAUUAUUGCUAGUAUUGUUCUUGAGCAGUAUGGUUUACACUCCAGGUAGUAAUUAGGAUGCAUGUGUAAUUUCAGUGGAAGUUUUAGGGAACGAAACAGCAUUCUCAUCAUCACAAGAUAGUGUAUAUUAUCUUGUUAAUUAAGAUAUUUUCAUGUGAUUGUUAUCUCUUGUUAAUAUUAAUUUUAUCAAUGCUGUAUGUAUGUGUUGCCAGUAUAUACUUGAGUUGGGCCUUCCUGCAAGAUAAAGUAUAUGCUGGAACAUAAGUAUACGAUCAGUAUCUCUCAUUCACAUAUGAUUACAUGUUUCUUUUUGAGCCCAGUCUUUCAUUAGAGUGGCCUAUUAGGCUGCAUACCAUUAACCCAACUUGACGCGAUGCAUGUUUGCUUGCCUACUAGUGUAUCUGGAUGCCAUGUGCUUAUGGACGGUCCUGUGCCAAUUAGAUUUAUACCAUUGGCACGUAACAAAAUCAUAAGCUACAUUCUAGCUGCUCAAUGUUUUGUGUUUUCCUUCUUCUAUUUGAGGUAAAACUAUCAAUUGAGUGGCUAAAAUUUAUGUUUCACAAACCACAUGCAUUCACUCUUGUUAUUUGCAACUGCACUUUGUGUGUACUUGGUGCUUAUGAACGGUCUUGUGCUGAUAAAAUGGUUUGUCAUCAGCACGUGACAAAAAUAUAAG
This is a long non-coding RNA of Ricinus communis (castor bean), 1736 nucleotides long. RefSeq lists it as uncharacterized. Lineage: Eukaryota; Viridiplantae; Streptophyta; Magnoliopsida; Malpighiales; Euphorbiaceae. The transcript has 3 exons. The record is from RefSeq and is a predicted model, not a curated record.